NGGUGAUUAGCUCAGCUGGGAGAGCACCUCCCUUACAAGGAGGGGGUCGGCGGUUCGAUCCCGUCAUCACCCACCA
Molecule: transfer RNA, 76 nt
Filed under: Escherichia coli
Lineage: Bacteria; Pseudomonadati; Pseudomonadota; Gammaproteobacteria; Enterobacterales; Enterobacteriaceae
Also listed under: 1 other name
Description: tRNA-Val
Rfam family: tRNA
About the family: Transfer RNA (tRNA) molecules are approximately 80 nucleotides in length. Their secondary structure includes four short double-helical elements and three loops (D, anti-codon, and T loops).
Source: RNAcentral